UACGUAGGUGGCAAGCGUUGUCCGGAUUUACUGGGUGUAAAGGGCGUGCAGCCGGAGAGACAAGUCAGAUGUGAAAUCCGCAGGCUCAACCUGCGAACUGCAUUUGAAACUGUUUCCCUUGAGUAUCGGAGAGGUCAUCGGGAUUCCUAGUGUAGCGGUGAAAUGCGUAGAUAUUAGGAAGAACACCAGUGGCGAAGGCGGAUGACUGGACGACAACUGACGGUGAGGCGCGAAAGCGUGGGGAGCAAACGGG
RNAcentral lists this ribosomal RNA (253 nucleotides) under uncultured bacterium. Its description in RNAcentral is "partial 16S ribosomal RNA". It matches the Rfam family "Bacterial small subunit ribosomal RNA", at positions 524 to 776 of the family's 1533-position model. The record is from RNAcentral.